UUGAGAUACACCAAGUGAGAAGACUGGUCUUUGACAAUUACCAAUAGUGUCCAGUAUCUUUAUAAGUAACAGUUGCAUUGUGUUGGGAAUUGAAUUGAUGGAUUCCCAUAUUAUGAAGAUUCAGUUUUAUUAUUCAAAGUAACAGCAGAAGUUUGUGUGUGUUUAUUUUCCAGACAGGCAGGGCAUGUAGUUUGACACUGACAUUUCAUACAGUUACUUAUUUUCCAGUACUCGCUAAUCCUCCAAUCAGAUGCUCGAGUGUGAUAUCAGACGAUAACCUACUCCAAGUUCUUAUAGUCACGCUCUGCAUACGAUUAUCUAAUCAUUGGAAUAAUCUCGCCCCAGCCCAGCCUGGAAGAGACCAAGUGGCCGACCUCUUAACACCUGGAUGUGUCAGCUGGAAGCAGACAUUGAGUCUCAGGCACGGCCGCUGUGGCAAUCUGCAUCAACCUGCAUAGGUUGGGCGGCUCUACAUCCCCCCAUGACGGAUUAGAGUAAGAUGAUGAUGAUGACGACUGAUUGAUGGGCAGUACCUAUCAUGGACAACUGGAUAGUAGUAUGUGGGAUUGCUUGUCUGAGAUAUGACAACUUUCAAUAGUUUUAGCCAUCAAGCUGUAACUGCUCGAUGAAUGAGUGGACUCUGCAAGCAUAUACUUAAACAGACAUUGAUUGCACCUCCUGAUCAAUACAAGCAACUU
This is a long non-coding RNA of Asterias rubens (European starfish), 698 nucleotides long. RefSeq lists it as uncharacterized. The transcript has 3 exons. The record is from RefSeq and is a predicted model, not a curated record. Lineage: Eukaryota; Metazoa; Echinodermata; Asteroidea; Forcipulatida; Asteriidae.